This 72-nucleotide transfer RNA is filed under the name Camelus bactrianus (Bactrian camel). It matches the Rfam family "tRNA". Rfam says of the family: Transfer RNA (tRNA) molecules are approximately 80 nucleotides in length. Their secondary structure includes four short double-helical elements and three loops (D, anti-codon, and T loops). The record is from Rfam by way of RNAcentral. Lineage: Eukaryota; Metazoa; Chordata; Mammalia; Artiodactyla; Camelidae. RNAcentral also lists the same sequence under 1 other name.
GAGGGUAUAGCUCAGUGGUAGAGGGCUUGCUUACCAUGCGUGAGGUCCUGGGUUCAAUUCCCAGUACUUCUG